AUAUUUACAUUACAUGAUUGUGUUUAUAUAUACACAUAUAUAUGAUAAGACUUUGUUUUGUGGCUAACCUUAGUUUUGAUUUCUCAGCCUUCAUUUUUGGGUGAGAAUGGCAAUCUCUUCCUUCUGCUUCAGAGUGAUAAUGCUGUUUCUCACCUUUUCAGAUUUGUUUAUGCAAAGCUAUGGUUUGGAUUUUGGAAUAAACUAUGGACAAAUAGCAAACAAUUUACCAUCUCAUUCACGUGUAGCAGUUCUUAUAAAAUCAUUGAAUGUGAGCAGAAUCAAACUCUAUGAUGCUGAUCCAAAUGUUCUAACAACAUUCUCAAAUUCAAAUGUUGAAUUCAUGAUAGGACUUAAUGAUCUUCAAAGUAUGAAAGACCCUAUUAAGGCACAAUCAUGGGUUCAACAAAAUGUUCAACCUUACCUUCCACAAACCAAAAUCACUUCAAUUAAUGUAGGAAAUGAAGUAUUAGGUAACAAUGAUAUAAACAGUUAUAAUAACCUUCUUCCAGCAAUGAAAUCAGUGUAUAAUGCACUUGUUAAUCUUGGAUUAUCUCAACAAGUUACUGUCACAACUUCACAUUCUUUCAUCAUUAUGUCAAAUUCAUUCCCUCCUUCAUCUGGUGCAUUUAGAGAAGAUUUGAUACAAUAUAUUCAACCACUUCUUAGCUUUCAAGCGCAGAUCAAAUCGCCUUUUUUGAUCAAUGCUUAUCCUUUUUUUGCAUACAAAGGUGAUCCACAACAUGUUUCAUUAAACUAUGUCUUGUUUCAACCAAAUGCUGGUUCUAUUGAUCCUGCUACAAAUUUGCAUUAUGAUAACAUGUUGUAUGCUCAAAUCGAUGCCGUUUAUGCUGCUAUAAAGGCGGUAGGGCAUAGCGAUAUCGAGGUUAAGAUUUCUGAGACAGGUUGGCCUUCUAAAGGUGAUCCGGAUGAGGUUGGAGCUUCACUACAGAAUGCAGAAAUUUAUCAUAGUAAUUUGUUGAAGAGGAUUGCGAUGAAACAAGGAACUCCUGCAAAACCUUCUAUUCCUAUUGAUAUUUAUGUUUUUGCACUUUUUAAUGAAGAUUUGAAGACUGGUCCUGCAUCAGAGAGAAACUAUGGUCUUUAUUAUCCUGAUGGUACUCCAGUUUAUAACCUUGGAUUGAAAAAUCAAGUCCCUCAAGGGGGUUAUUUUCCAGGAAUGAUUAUUGAAGGCAAAUCCAAUGCUUUGUCCAUCAAUUUUGUUCUCUAUAUUCUUACAUUCUUGGUGUUUGUUUGGGAGCUUUCAAUAUUGUGAUGAGAGAAGAAAAUGAUUGCUAUGAAAUUUCAAAUGGAUCAUUCUUUACAGGAGGGACUACUUGGACUUGGAGGGAGACAAAAGAAAAGAAGCAGAUCUUUUUAUUUCGAAAGCAGGUCCUGCACUUUUUGUACACAUUGGGGAAACUUUCGGUGCUUAGUUUGUAUAAUAGCUUCUUUUUUACCAAAACUAUUCAUAUAAUUUUGAUAAAAAACAAUUCAUAUAAUUAUUAUUUAUUUCAGAAUUCAGCAAUAAUCAAAGGUAGAACCUAGAAAUUAGAUGUGUAAUAUGUAGUGCAAUAUUUAUUUUUAGAUCGAAAGUUGAUAUAUAGAAAGUAGAUUUUCUCUUCAAUUUAGAUAUAGAAAGAAAGAAAAGAAGGAUAGUGUUGUAUAUGUAGAAGAAAGUGUUGGGUUUGAGUCUGGGUCAGCAAUAUACCAAUAAAUUAUUAUUUGUAUUUUUCUAA
Medicago truncatula (barrel medic) is the source of this 1736-nucleotide RNA transcript. It is a transcript of the gene named glucan endo-1,3-beta-glucosidase 14, with no coding region annotated. Lineage: Eukaryota; Viridiplantae; Streptophyta; Magnoliopsida; Fabales; Fabaceae. The record is from RefSeq and is a predicted model, not a curated record. The transcript has 4 exons.